Molecule: long non-coding RNA, 689 nt
Organism: Myotis davidii
Lineage: Eukaryota; Metazoa; Chordata; Mammalia; Chiroptera; Vespertilionidae
Exons: 2
Source: RefSeq, a predicted model, not a curated record
CUUCUUAUGAGGAGCUGGGGUUUCUCCACCAGCCACCGGGGGCUUUCUUUAGCUUCUGGAUCUCCAGGCAUGUCUGGGGUUGCUGGGGAGACUGGAGCAGUAGAAAUGGAUCAAGUGAAUGUGCCCGGGUCCUGGAGGUGGCCUUUCCAUGAAAUAGCCACAGGUCCAGUUCUUUGGGCAAUCCCUCUGUGCUCUGCAUGCACCAUCUCAUUGGACCCUCACAACAGCCCUGUGGGGCAGUACCAUCAUUGCACCCAUUUUACAGAUGAACAAACUGAGGCUCAGAGAGGUGGAGUGGCAUGCCUGAGGUCCCAUCGCUGUCAGGCUGACCCACUGAAGAGUGGUAGCCAUUGGGAUCUGUUGUCUAUUUGUUGGAGAAUGAAGCUUCCUAUUGAUUUUGUUCCUCCAGAAAAUGGUCAGCAGGUAGCCGACGUGCAAGUCAAUGCCUGAAGAGGGCAGAUGAGGAGGACUGCUGUGAUGCCGCCAACUGAUGAAUUUCCAGUUGCUUGACCAUGUUUCCUUGCAGUAUCUGCCCCUGGGAAGAUGCUGCCACCAUCCAACUGGACUGAAAGCCUGAGACCAGAAGAAACGCUCUCAGCCACUCCUUGCCUUCACAGUUGAGACAGCAGUCUAUGCUCAUCACCCGUCCCCCUACCCCCACCCCCAACAAUAAAGGCCACUUCUGCAUC